RNAcentral lists this ribosomal RNA (302 nucleotides) under uncultured Syndiniales. RNAcentral describes it as "SSU rRNA". It matches the Rfam family "Eukaryotic small subunit ribosomal RNA", at positions 458 to 765 of the family's 1831-position model. The record is from RNAcentral. Lineage: Eukaryota; Dinophyceae; Syndiniales.
AGGGAGGUAGUGACAAGAAAUACCGGUGUGAGGCUUCAUGUCUUGUAAUUGGAAUGAGUACAAUUUAAACCCCUUAACGAGUAUCAAUUGGAGGGCAAGUCUGGUGCCCGCAGCCGCGGUAAUUCCAGCUCCAAUAGCGUAUAUUAAAGUUGUUGCGGUUAAAAAGCUCGUAGUUGGAGUUCUGCCUGGUGACGCCCGUCCGCCCAAGUGGUGUGUACAGGGUGUACAUCUGGCCCUUUCAAGGGGAACGUAUCUGCACUUAACUGUGCGGUGCGAGAUCCUUGACUUUUACUUUGAGGAAA